Molecule: unclassified non-coding RNA, 400 nt
Filed under: soil metagenome
Description: partial contains 5.8S ribosomal RNA, internal transcribed spacer 2, and large subunit ribosomal RNA
Rfam family: 5.8S ribosomal RNA (bases 1-122)
Source: RNAcentral
GAUGAAGAACGCAGCGAAAUGCGAUACUUGGUGUGAAUUGCAGAAUCCCGUGAACCAUCGAGUCUUUGAACGCAAGUUGCGCCUCAAGCCAUUAGGUUGAGGGCACGUCUGCCUGGGCGUCACAUAUCGUUGCCUGAUGCCAGUUUCCUCGUGAUGGGUGACUGUGCAGGGCGAAUGAUGGCUUCCCGUCAGCAUUGUUGCCUCAUGGUUGGUUGAAAAUUGAGUCCUUGGUAGGGAGCGCCGUGAUAGAUGGUGGUUGAGUGACGAACGAGACCCAAUCAUGUGAGACCCCUACCGAAUUUGGCCUUCAUGACCCACAUGCGUCUUUGGAACGCUCAUGACGAGACCUCAGGUCAGGCGGGGCUACCCGCUGAGUUUAAGCAUAUCAAUAAGCGGAGGA